GAGCAAUUCACUGGGGGAGUUUCUAUGAGGAAGCCCUGAAAUAAGCUGAAACUCUGGGGAAGGAGACAUUUUCAAUGAACAUCUACAUUCACAGAAGCCUAGGAACCAUUUCACAGUGUCUUUGAACAAGGCUGGGAAGAGAAGGAUGCAGAGAAUGGCGGGCGUGGACGUCAAGCCUUAGAAGCAAGAAAGAGGAUGAUAAGGAUUUGAAGAGCUAUGUUUCAACCAUGCACGGUGUUUGCCCAGCUCAACCAGCAAGGCUCAGUGUGCUGAGCUCCAGUACUGCGUGUUAGACUUGCCAGGAGGCGAGGCAGAGAGGGCUGAGCGUGGGGAAACUUCUUUCCUGAGCAGCUCUUCCUGACUGACGUACUGAAACAGGAGUCCUGACAUGGAAGCUGUCAUGGCAUGAGGAUUACAGCUCCUGGAAACCAGUUGGCCUCCAAAGCUGGUGUGUAAAGCCACUAGCCCCACAGCCCACAGGGCAUACCUGUGGUGUAAGCGCUGCCCAGGACAGCCCUGCAGUUCCCUCCUCUCCCUGCAGAUUCGUGAAAAUGACCAAGCAGAAGCACACUGUUAUGUAAGAGGAAUAAAGAGGCUAAUAGGAACUGUCUGUAAUUGCCAAGGAAUAAGGUCUAGUGGAGAGUGUUCUUUUUCAGGUGCACUACUGCAAAUCUUCAGUAGACAAAGCAUAGGAAAAAGGGGUUGCUAGAAUUGCCACCACUGUGCAGUUACCUGCAUCUAUUAAAAAAAGUCAAAUGCCUUUAAUGUGAUUAAAGAACAGAGGUCAGACCUGUUUUACAGUGACUUUGGACUAUCCAGAGGCAGCGAGACCUGGACUCCAGGCAUCAAUAAGGUGAUACAGAUAAUGCAGCAGGAGCAAAAGAGAGAUGUCCAGGAGUCUUUAAAGAAUAGAAAAAGGAAUUUAGAACAGAUUCCUUGGAAUGUAACUUGAAAAACAGCAAGUAGAAAAAAAGGAAGCAGAAAUGCAAAUAUUUCCAGGUUUCCAGUUCUUUAAAAACGAUGAUGGUUCAGGUGUGUGAUGAGCAACUACUUUCUCUGAAAAGCAGGCAAAAUAUUAAAUCAAAGAAAAAGGAGAAUGUGU
RNAcentral lists this long non-coding RNA (1102 nucleotides) under Aquila chrysaetos chrysaetos. RNAcentral describes it as "lncRNA (ENSACCG00020002128.1)". Lineage: Eukaryota; Metazoa; Chordata; Aves; Accipitriformes; Accipitridae. The record is from RNAcentral.